CGGACGGGUGAGUAACGCGUGGGCAACCUGCCCUGCACUGGGGGAUAACACUUAGAAAUAGGUGCUAAUACCGCAUAAUAAAAUAUAUUGCAUGAUAUAUUUUUGAAAGCUGCGGCGGUGCAGGAUGGGCCCGCGUCUGAUUAGCCAGUUGGCGGGGUAACGGCCCACCAAAGCGACGAUCAGUAGCCGGCCUGAGAGGGUGGACGGCCACAUUGGGACUGAGACACGGCCCAAACUCCUACGGAAGGCAGCAG
Molecule: ribosomal RNA, 254 nt
Filed under: uncultured bacterium
Lineage: Bacteria
Description: partial 16S ribosomal RNA
Rfam family: Bacterial small subunit ribosomal RNA
Source: RNAcentral